Molecule: ribosomal RNA, 301 nt
Filed under: uncultured bacterium
Lineage: Bacteria
Description: partial 16S ribosomal RNA
Rfam family: Bacterial small subunit ribosomal RNA
Source: RNAcentral
CAGCAGCCGCGGUAAUACAGAGGAUGCAAGCGUUAUCCGGAAUGAUUGGGCGUAAAGCGUCUGUAGGUGGCUUUCCAAGUCCGCCGUCAAAUCCCAGGGCUCAACCCUGGACAGGCGGUGGAAACUACCAAGCUGGAGUACGGUAGGGGCAGAGGGAUUUUCCGGUGGAGCGGUGAAAUGCGUUGAGAUCGGAAAGAACACCAACGGCGAGAGCACUCUGCUGGGCCGACACUGACACUGAGAGACGAAAGCUAGGGGAGCAAAUGGGAUUGGAUACCCCCGUAGUCCCUGUCUCUUAUAA